Molecule: ribosomal RNA, 207 nt
Filed under: uncultured bacterium
Lineage: Bacteria
Description: partial 16S ribosomal RNA
Rfam family: Bacterial small subunit ribosomal RNA
Source: RNAcentral
GGCGCAGGCGGAGAUGUAAGCCAGACGUGAAAGCCCGGGGCUCAACCCCGGAAUUGCAUUUGGAACUACAUCUCUUGAGGAUAGGCGGAGAAAACGGAAUUCUGCAUGUAGCGGUGAAAUGCGUAGAUAUGCAGAAGAACACCGGUGGCGAAGGCGGUUUUCUAGCUUAUUCCUGACGCUGAGGCCCGAAAGCUAGGGGAGCGAACA